RNAcentral lists this ribosomal RNA (498 nucleotides) under Scincella cherriei (brown forest skink). Its description in RNAcentral is "partial large subunit ribosomal RNA". It matches the Rfam family "Bacterial large subunit ribosomal RNA", at positions 1814 to 2569 of the family's 2925-position model. Lineage: Eukaryota; Metazoa; Chordata; Lepidosauria; Squamata; Scincidae. The record is from RNAcentral.
CAUAGCCUUUAGCAAUAUUAGUAUUAAAGGUACUGCCUGCCCAGUGAAACUAGUUUUAAACGGCCGCGGUAUUCUAACCGUGCAAAGGUAGCGUAAUCACUUGUCUUCUAAAUAAAGACUAGUAUGAACGGCUAAAUGAGGACUUAUCUGUCUCCUACACCCCAUCAAUGAAACUGAUCUUUCGGUCCAAAAGCCGAAAUAGCCACACAAGACGAGAAGACCCUGUGGAGCUUAAAACACACUACUACUAAAUCAAAAGAUAACUAGUAUUUGUUUUGAGUUGGGGCGACUUCGGAAUAAAACAAAACUUCCGAGCACAGAACCACAAUUCUUAAUCAAGGCCCACACGCCUAAACACAAAUGACCCAGUCAAACUGAUCAACGAACCAAGUUACCCCAGGGAUAACAGCGCUAUCUUCUUCAAGAGUUCAUAUCGACAAGAAGGUUUACGACCUCGAUGUUGGAUCAGGACACCCUAAUGGUGCAGCCGCUAUAAAG